GUGAAUCAUCAAAUUUUUGAACGCAAAUUGCACUCCCUGGGAUUCCGGGGAGUAUGCGUGUGUGAGGUUCGUCAGAAUAAAAAAUCGAGGCGUCGCUCUUUUUGUUAAUGGUGAUCGCGACGGAAUUGAGCCUUCUGUGAAAUGUUAAGUCAUGUCAAAGAGUCUUAAAAUUCAUCCAUCCGGUACGAUUAGAACGUAGUUAAUAUCAAUUUUUUUCAAGAACGCGCGAGUACGUACUAUCUCAUGUAGUACGUUUGACGU
RNAcentral lists this unclassified non-coding RNA (261 nucleotides) under Funneliformis monosporus. Its description in RNAcentral is "partial internal transcribed spacer 2". The stretch from base 1 to 71 matches the Rfam family "5.8S ribosomal RNA", at positions 84 to 154 of the family's 154-position model. The record is from RNAcentral. Lineage: Eukaryota; Fungi; Glomeromycota; Glomeromycetes; Glomerales; Glomeraceae.